UGGCGAGAAGUCGCGGUUCCACGCUACUAUAGGGUCGAUAAAGCAGCGACUCACACUCCGCAGCUCGCGCACAGUGUGUGAUCGGCAUACUUAGCAUAUUUGCGUGAGAGCGACGCUGACGCGCAGCGGCCAAACAAUUUUCGGCGCAGAGAUUCUCAACACAGCAGCAGCUAUAGUUAGUUCGCGAGUCGUGCCUCGCGCGGACACAUGUACACUUCGCGGGACGAGCACCGCCGCCGUCGUCGCCGACGACCUCGACGCAAGCAGCAACAGCAGGAGGACGACGCGCAGCUCUUCUCCGCGGCUUAUAUUCGGCGAUCAAAAGGCGCGCGACGGAACAGCGCGUAGGAGAGGAGAGAAAGAAAGCGAGAGCGCUCUGUACUUAUGUAUAUACACUCGUAUCGUACACACGCAAAUAGUAGUGCGCGCACGCAGUCAUCAGCGGAAGAGGUGGAAGUGAGGAGCCUGCAAAGUGAAGAGAUGGCCCGCGGAGGUUAUCCUUUAUAGAGAAGGAGAGAGAGAGAGAGAGAGAGAGAGAGAGAAAGAGAGAGAGAGAGAGAGAGAGAGAGAGAGGAAGGAGGAUGGCAUCGGACAGGAUGCCGCCCGGAAACUGCUGAGAUCCGUAGCGACUCCGAAACGGAUCUUCUCUUGACUUCGGCUCGCGGGGCUUUUCUUAUCCGCUUUCUCGGCUUCUCCUGUCGACAAGAUGAACAGCGGCGCGUCGGCGACGUCGCCGAGCGAGCCGCUCAACUCGCUGGCGACGGCCGCCGGCGACGACUGGGCCGAGUUCUGCGAGCGGCAUGCGCGGGCCGCCGCCGCCGACUUCGCCAAAGCCUUCUGCACCUACGUCAAUCUCGACCUCACCGAGUCGGCGAGGGCCAGCCUAUCCUACCGGGACUUUCUCAGGAAGUUCGUCGAGACCUUCUGCGACCACUUCGAGGCGGAGUACGUCCGGCGCACCAAAUCACCAUCUACCCAUGAUGCAAACUCAAGGCAACCUACAUCAAAUGAUCGCGAGGGAAACUCAACAAAUCACAAUAACAGGACCCCAGUUCGCACAUCAUCUCAUGAGGAGUUCAGUGAUUACUCAGAGCAGGAUGGAGAAAUAGUGUCCCCAAAACCUGCGCACAAGCCCUUCUUCAGAAGACUUUCCUUCAAGGGCCUAAAAAAAGGAAAGGGUCUAUUCCACAAACAGCAAAGCGAUGAGGUAGUACUGUCUCACCCAGAUAGCCGUAGAACAGAUAAACAUUCCAAGGCCAAGCUUUCAAAGAUUGUAGUAGAAUGCAGAAAGGAAGGAACUGUAAAUGCAAUGGUCAUUGAAAAUACAGACGUGCCUCAAAAGUUCGAAAAGUGCAGACUAGCACUGGUCAAAGCCAGUGCUGGCUACAUGCUUGAAUUCUGCUCUUCUUCAAAGGCCAAGCCGCGUCACGGCAUAUUUUGUUCGUCCAUCACCGAAGCUCGCGAGACAACGGCUCUAGAAAUGCCAGAUCACGAGAAUACGUUUGUGCUCAAGACCCUGGAGCGGGAGUUCAUAAUCGAGGCGAAAGAUCCGAACGAUAUGAGGUCAUGGCUGGCCACGAUUCGUUACUGCAUGAGAAACACCUACGGGCUCCCGAACCUCAUGGGCAGCGGUGCGAACGAUACGGUAAUGGUUGAGAGCAUGAUGCAUGGAUCCGCUUCUAUGAAUAUAGAAGGGGAUAGGGUCAGAGCCAAUUCCGCGAGCAAAAGCACUCGUUCUGCACUGGAUCAUGUGGACGAGCAGGGGAACCCACCAGAACUACCGCCAAGACUCCGAGCGAGAAGUAACAGUAAUCUAGAACUAUGUUCCUCGCAACAAGAAAUCGAACAAAUUCCCGGAGCGGAAGUCGAAGUCGAUCUUUCAAGCAGCCUUCGCGAGUACCCGUGGUUCCAUGGUACACUACCGCGAUCUGAUGCAGCGCAGCUGGUUUUGCAUAAUGCAACAGAGGGUCACGGGACAUUUUUGGUACGACAGAGUGAAACGCGCAAAGGAGAAUACGUCCUAACAUUCAACUUUCAAGGCAGAGCUAAGCACUUGCGGAUGACGCUGACCGAUCAGGGCCACUGUCGGGUUCAGCACCUCUCCUUCCCGGCGAUCUACGAUAUGCUUGAUCACUUCCGUCAAAAUCCAAUACCUCUGGAAUCGGGCGGCACAGCCGAUGUCAAGCUCACCGAGUAUGUCGUGGCGAAUCAGACUAUACGAGCAGCGAGUAACACCCAACAAUCAGCUCAGUCAUCAACUGCUCAACAGCAGCCACAGCAGCAGCCAGACAGGAGACCCGCGGCGGCGCCGGAACCAAGAGAAGUAAGAGUCAGCUGUGGAAGUCUAACUCCUCUCGAGUGAUCGCCGAGACAAUGUGAGGCGACCGGCGAACGCUCUGUCGAUCUCUUUCUCCCACAGUCAGAAGCCUUGGUUUGACACGGACAGUACAAACAUACGGUGGUUCAAUAAGAAUGCGAGCCGAAUCGCUGGAACGACUCGAGCAACAGCAUCAACAGCAGCAACAGAACAACGCCAAUGGCGAACAACAGGCCUCGACAAGCAGGGCGGUCCAGAACGCAUACAGCUUCCUUUGACGCUGGAUGCGCAAAGCCCUGCCGACCGGCUACCAUCCGGUCAGUCCACCAGACUGACGUAUUCAAAUGAAUCUGAUAAAUUGCUAUGCAUAUAUAUACAUACAUUAUUGCAAUGUAAAUUCCCUACGAUAUAUGAUUGGAUUUCUUUUUUACCGGUAGCCUUUUGUAAUUUUUCUUUCUUUUACGUUUUAUUUUUGAAAUGUUUAAUAACAUCAAAUACUUUCUAUUUUUUAGACACGAGUUUUUAUCGAUUGCUAUUCCUUUUGCUUAUAAUUUUAUUGUUGAAAUCGGGAAAAAAUUAACAUAUUGUAAAUAUAUUUUUUGUUUAGUUUAACAUAAUAUCAUAGUAAUUUUUUAACACUGACAUGGCGAUUGUGAUUAUAACUAUUGCCAAGAUCACUCUUAUUUGAAAGAAAAAUCUAAAUGAAUAAUGAAUAGAUUACUCAAUUGUAAAAAUGUUCGCGUAAUAGAAAAAUUCUUUUCCCUGUUCAACUAUAAAUAUUCUCGCGAAAUAUUUGGCUGUGAAUCUUUUCAUGUUAAUAAAAAAGGUUUUUAUUCAUAAAUAUUAAAUAUUCGAUAAUCAUCUUCAAAAUAGUAAUAUAGAUAGUAAUAUGAUUUCAAAACAAUUAAACAUUUCAAAAAUGUAAAUAUUUUAUUUUAUAGUUGCUCUUUUACUAUAAGUUCAAACUAUUAUAAAGCUACACUGUAAACAAUUUUUUCGUAAUAUUACCAACCCAGUAGUAAACCAAACAGUCUUACGCCCAGCACAGUAAAUUUACAACGGUAUAAAUAAAUUCACAACGGUACAUAGUAAUUUUACUAUUUUGCGCGCUGUAAUUUUACAACGGCGGUAGUAUUUUCACACUGAACGCGAGAAUCUGACCCCUGUAAAAUUACUACGCUAAGAGUAGUAAACUAAUCCGAUCUAUACGCUGGGCGAAGCAAUUUUACUACAAGGAUAGUAAAAUUACUAGAUUUUUGUAAUUUUACGUAGCUGAUCGUAGUAAGCUAUACGAAGGAUUGGAACCUCAUGUAAUUUUACUACAUUUUAUUGAUUUUAAAAAAUCACUUUUUACAGUGUAGAUAUCCUUUUAGAUUUGGCCAAUUAUUAUAGUUAUUUAAUUUAUAAAAAGCGUACAAUUAGCAUAGAAAUCAAAUUUCUUUGAGUUAUUUUUUAAUUUAAUAUAAAAAAUAGUAACUUUUGAGAUCAGUGAUAUCACACAAUCUUACCGAUAAUGAUUAAGAUUUAGAAAAGUUUCUAAAAAUGGGGCAUAAUUUACUUUUGUGAAAUGCUUUGGUAUGCGCUUUUAAAGUUUAGAUCGUUGUAUCGAUUGAUCGUUGAAUCGAAUCAGUAGAAGUAAAUUGUAGUUUUUGCUGACGCAGUAUCAUAACAAAUUGUAUAUUUUUAAAGUCUACAGUAAAUUUAUACAUAUUUUAUUUAAUAAUAGUAUCUUGAAAAAAGAAAGCUUCUAAGCGAUAGCGUAAGAAAAAAUGCCAUAAAACGCCAAUGCAACUAAGGAAUUUAUAGUUGAUUGUUACUCAAUCGUGACUGUUCAUCUUUACAUGAAUUUAGUAGUAUGAUUAUUCUUUUUUUUAUUAAUUUUCUUGAUGCCAUAACUACAAUAGUCUAGUGCCGAUUUUGAAUUUAUGCUGUGCUACUCGCAUUCCCAGUUUUUAUAUGCAUACAUGUAUCUAUAUAAAUAUAUAUAUGUGUGUAUAUGUAAUACUACCAAGGAUACAAAUGUACUAUACUGGAACGAUAUGUGACACAAGGGACAUUUGUGCCUUUACAAGACAAUUUAAUCAUGAACUGUAAUUACUGUACAGUGUGCUCAUUUUCUUAACCAAAUUGUAAAAAAGAAAAUUUUUUGCAAAAGUUUUUUUAAUCACUGUAUUUGUAAACACUUACUUUUCGUAUAUUUUUAUGAUUAUUUUUAUAUCGUGUAAGAGAUUCGAGAAAAGACAUGCUGUGACAACAUUCACAUAGAAUAUUAAAAAUUAUGAUCUGUGUUAGUUACAAAAAGAGAUAAGCUUUCUAUAGAUGUAACGCGCUUGCUUUGUGAAAUUUGUCAUUAUGUGGUGAACAAUGGUAUCUCGGUGAUAAGACCCAGUCUAACAACUGUACAUUUUUUAUUUCUAUGCAUAAGUUUUUAAAUAUACUCAUGACUAGCCUUAUAGUUAGUUAGGAAUGAAAAAUAUAUGUUCAAGCGUAAUAUGACGUUCUUAACGGUAAGAGUCUAAACAAAUGGUUAGACUUUAAUUUGUAUAAUUUUCAAGAAUAAUUUGAUGUUUUGGAGAUGUUUCUUUCUUAUAAUGCUGCACAACUUUUUUGUUUGUUAUGUGUUCUAGAAAAGCUGAAUGAGAAAAAUUGAUUUAUUGUUCUUUUCUAUUACUAUAUAUAAAAAUCCCAUCAUUGCGUGUUCUUCUACGUUGUCACAGAAUGAAAUCUUGUUUUUUUUUUAAAGCUGAAUACUGCAAACAUGUGUACAGUAUCAUCUAGUCUAAAUAAACUAAGCCUUUGUAAAGUUA
RNA transcript from Nasonia vitripennis (jewel wasp), 5124 nucleotides. It is a transcript of the gene named SH2B adapter protein 1, with no coding region annotated. The transcript is spliced from 5 exons. The record is from RefSeq and is a predicted model, not a curated record. NCBI's taxonomy places the organism in Eukaryota, Metazoa, Arthropoda, Insecta, Hymenoptera, Pteromalidae.